AGUGAACGCUGGCGGCAGGCCUAACACAUGCAAGUCGAGCGGCAGCGCGGGGGCAACCCUGGCGGCGAGCGGCGGACGGGUGAGGAAUUCGUCGGAAUCUGCCUUUUUGUGGGGGAUAACGUAGGGAAACUUACGCUAAUACCGCAUACGUCCUACGGGAGAAAGUGGGGGACCGCAAGGCCUCACGCAGAAAGAUGAGCCGACGACCGAUUAGCUAGUUGGUGGGGUAAAGGCCCACCAAGGCGACGAUCGGUAGCUGGUCUGAGAGGAUGAUCAGUCACACUGGGACUGAGACACGGCCCAGACUCCUACGGGAGGCAGCAGUGGGGAAUAUUGGACAAUGGGCGCAAGCCUGAUCCAGCCAUGCCGCGUGUGUGAAGAAGGCCUUCGGGUUGUAAAGCACUUUUGUCCGGAAAGAAAUCCCUGGAGCUAAUACCUUCGGGGGAUGACGGUACCGGAAGAAUAAGCACCGGCUAACUUCGUG
This 484-nucleotide ribosomal RNA is filed under the name uncultured bacterium. Its description in RNAcentral is "partial 16S ribosomal RNA". It matches the Rfam family "Bacterial small subunit ribosomal RNA", at positions 29 to 507 of the family's 1533-position model. The record is from RNAcentral.